GAACACGGAGCUUGCUCUGUGGGAUCAGUGGCGAACGGGUGAGUAACACGUGAGCAACCUGCCCCUGACUCUGGGAUAAGCGCUGGAAACGGCGUCUAAUACUGGAUAUGUGACGUGACCGCAUGGUCUGCGUCUGGAAAGAAUUUCGGUUGGGGAUGGGCUCGCGGCCUAUCAGCUUGUUGGUGAGGUAAUGGCUCACCAAGGCGUCGACGGGUAGCCGGCCUGAGAGGGUGACCGGCCACACUGGGACUGAGACACGGCCCAGACUCCUACGGGAGGCAGCAGUGGGGAAUACUGCACAAUGGGCGCAAGCCUGAUGCAGCAACGCCGCGUGAGGGACGACGGCCUUCGGGUUGUAAACCUCUUUUAGCAGGGAAGAAGCGAAAGUGACGGUACCUGCAGAAAAAGCGCCGGCUAACUACGUGCCAGCAGCCGCGGUAAUACGUAGGGCGCAAGCGUUAUCCGGAAUUAUUGGGCGUAAAGAGCUCGUAGGCGGUUUGUCGCGUCUGCUGUGAAAUCCGGAGGCUCAACCUCCGGCCUGCAGUGGGUACGGGCAGACUAGAGUGCGGUAGGGGAGAUUGGAAUUCCUGGUGUAGCGGUGGAAUGCGCAGAUAUCAGGAGGAACACCGAUGGCGAAGGCAGAUCUCUGGGCCGUAACUGACGCUGAGGAGCGAAAGGGUGGGGAGCAAACAGGCUUAGAUACCCUGGUAGUCCACCCCGUAAACGUUGGGAACUAGUUGUGGGGUCCAUUCCACGGAUUCCGUGACGCAGCUAACGCAUUAAGUUCCCCGCCUGGGGAGUACGGCCGCAAGGCUAAAACUCAAAGGAAUUGACGGGGACCCGCACAAGCGGCGGAGCAUGCGGAUUAAUUCGAUGCAACGCGAAGAACCUUACCAAGGCUUGACAUAUACGAGAACGGGCCAGAAAUGGUCAACUCUUUGGACACUCGUAAACAGGUGGUGCAUGGUUGUCGUCAGCUCGUGUCGUGAGAUGUUGGGUUAAGUCCCGCAACGAGCGCAACCCUCGUUCUAUGUUGCCAGCACGUAAUGGUGGGAACUCAUGGGAUACUGCCGGGGUCAACUCGGAAGAAGGUGGGGGAUGACGUCAAAUCAUCAUGCCCC
This 1121-nucleotide ribosomal RNA is filed under the name uncultured Microbacterium sp. RNAcentral describes it as "bacterial SSU rRNA". It matches the Rfam family "Bacterial small subunit ribosomal RNA", at positions 69 to 1201 of the family's 1533-position model. The record is from RNAcentral. Lineage: Bacteria; Bacillati; Actinomycetota; Actinomycetes; Micrococcales; Microbacteriaceae.